This 1214-nucleotide ribosomal RNA is filed under the name uncultured eukaryote. Its description in RNAcentral is "SSU rRNA". It matches the Rfam family "Eukaryotic small subunit ribosomal RNA", at positions 570 to 1831 of the family's 1831-position model. The record is from RNAcentral.
GAAUUCGGCUUCGGUAAUUCCAGCUCCAAUAGCGUAUAUUAAAAUUGUUGCGGUUAAAACGCUCGUAGUUGGACAUUUGUAGGAGACUGCCGGUCUACCCCAGUGGUUAGUACUUGGCAUGUCUUCUGCACCUUCCUGGUGGAAGUGUUCGCACUUUGAUGUGUGGGGCGUAAUCCAGAACUUUUACUUUGAGGAAAUGAGAGUGCUUCACGCAGGCAUCCGUCGUGAAUACGUUAGCAUGGAAUAACACUAUAGACCACGUUCUAAAGCUGUUGGUUUUUAGGACGAGGUAAUGAAAAGAGGGAUAGUUGGGGGCAUUCGUAUUUAACUGUCAGAGGUGAAAUUCUUGGAUCUUUAAAAGACGAACUACUGCGAAAGCAUCUGCCCAGGAUGUUUCUAUUAAUCAAGAACGAAAGUUAGGGGAUCGAAGACGAUCAGAUACCGUCCUAGUUUUAACCUUAAACCAUGCCGACUAGAGAUUGGGGUCGUCAGAAUGUAGACGACGUCAGCAGCUUGAGAGAAAUCAAAGUCUUUGGGUUCCGGGGGGAGUAUGGUCGCAAGGCUGAAACUUAAAGGAAUUGACGGAAGGGCACCACCAGGAGUGGAGCCUGCGGCUUAAUUUGACUCAACACGGGGAAACUCACCAGGUCCAGACAUAGGGAGGAUUGACAGACUGAUAGCUCUUUCUUGAUUCUAUGGGUGGUGGCGCAUGGCCGUUCUUAGUUGGUGGAGUGAUUUGUCUGGUUAAUUCCGUUAACGAACGAGACCUUAACCUGCUAAAUAGUUCUCGAAAACAUCACGUUUCCGGAGAGCUUCUUAGAGGGACUUUGUGUGUGUAACAUAAGGAAGUGCGAGGCAAUAACAGGUCUGUGAUGCCCUUAGAUGUCCUGGGCCGCACGCGCGCUACACUGAUGCGUCCAACGAGUGCCCAACCUACUCUGGAAGGAGUGGGUAACCUUUUGAAAGCGCAUCGUGAUGGGGAUAGAUUAUUGCAAUUGUUAAUCUUGAACGAGGAAUUCCUAGUAAGCGCAAGUCAUCAGCUUGUGCUGAUUACGUCCCUGCCCUUUGUACACACCGCCCGUCGCUCCUACCGAUUGAGUAAUCUGGUGAAUAAUUUGGACUGCAACGUGCCCAGAUCUGGGAUGCGCUGCGGAAAGUCUAGUAAACCCUAUCACUUAGAGGAAGGAGAAGUCGUAACAAGGUAAGCCGAAUUC